CGCGCAGGCUGUUUGGUAAGUCAGAUGUGAAAGCCCGGGGCUCAACCCCGGAAGUGCAUUUGAUACUGCCGAACUUGAGUAUGGGAGAGGGAAGUGGAAUUCCUGGUGUAGAGGUGAAAUUCGUAGAUAUCAGGAGGAACACCGGUGGCGAAGGCGACUUCCUGGACCGACACUGACGCUGAGGCGCGAAAGCUAGGGGAGCAAACA
RNAcentral lists this ribosomal RNA (207 nucleotides) under uncultured bacterium. Its description in RNAcentral is "partial 16S ribosomal RNA". It matches the Rfam family "Bacterial small subunit ribosomal RNA", at positions 568 to 774 of the family's 1533-position model. The record is from RNAcentral.